RNAcentral lists this ribosomal RNA (468 nucleotides) under uncultured bacterium. RNAcentral's name for it is "partial 16S ribosomal RNA". It matches the Rfam family "Bacterial small subunit ribosomal RNA", at positions 28 to 507 of the family's 1533-position model. The record is from RNAcentral.
GACGAACGCUGGCGGCGUGCUUAACACAUGCAAGUCGAACGGAAAGGCCCUGCUUUUGUGGGGUGCUCGAGUGGCGAACGGGUGAGUAACACGUGAGUAACCUGCUCUUGACUUUGGGAUAACUUCAGGAAACUGGGGCUAAUACCGGAUAGGAGCUCCUGCUGCAUGGUGGGGGUUGGAAAGUUUCGGCGGUUGGGGAUGGACUCGCGGCUGACCAGCUUGUUGGUGGGGUAGUGGCUUACCAAGGCUUUGACGGGUAGCCGGCCUGUGAGGGUGACCGGCGACAUUGGGACUGAGAUACGGCCCAGACUGGUACGGGAGGCAGCGGUGGGGAAUAUUGCACAAUGGGCGGAAGCCUGAGGCAGCAGCGCCGCGUGCGGGAUGACGGCCUUCGGGUUGUAAACCGCUUUCGCCUGUGACGAAGCGUGAGUGACGGUAAUGGGUAAAGAAGCACCGGCUAACUACGUG